This 334-nucleotide unclassified non-coding RNA is filed under the name Hevea brasiliensis (rubber tree). Lineage: Eukaryota; Viridiplantae; Streptophyta; Magnoliopsida; Malpighiales; Euphorbiaceae. The record is from RNAcentral.
GAAAUUGCUAUUAUGCCUCAGGAUUUGCUUUAUGGGCUGGUUGAUAGCGAGGAGGAUGAUAAGUUUGCCAGCUUAAAAUGUGUUGGGAUUGGGAGUCUUAUUUAUGUAUUCAAUGAGGAGUAUCACAAGAAGUACCCUGCUUGCAUUUGUGAGAUCACUAACGAGUCUGGCAAGUGUAGCUGGAGGAGAGUGCCCCAAUUGCCAUCACCUGUUAAUAAGUUUCACAAGGUUAUCAGCUUUUGUUCCACAGUUUUACCACAUAAUAUUUUCCUGGGUGAAGGGGAAGAAAUUGGACUGGUGGAGCCUAUGUCUUACUGACCAGCUUGUCUACUUG